RNAcentral lists this ribosomal RNA (253 nucleotides) under uncultured bacterium. RNAcentral's name for it is "partial 16S ribosomal RNA". It matches the Rfam family "Bacterial small subunit ribosomal RNA", at positions 524 to 776 of the family's 1533-position model. The record is from RNAcentral.
UACGUAGGGUGCAAGCGUUGUUCGGAUUCACUGGGCGUAAAGGGUGCGUAGGCGGUCGGGUAAGUCUGACGUGAAAUCUUCAAGCUCAACUUGGAAACUGCGUCCGAUACUAUUCGGCUAGAGGAAUGGAGGGGAGACUGGAAUACUUGGUGUAGCAGUGAAAUGCGUAGAGAUGUGGAGGAACACCAGUGGCGAAGGCGGCUUUUUGGUCUGUAACUGACGCUGAGGCGCGAAAGCGUGGGGAGCAAACAGG